Molecule: long non-coding RNA, 20554 nt
Filed under: Solanum tuberosum (potato)
Lineage: Eukaryota; Viridiplantae; Streptophyta; Magnoliopsida; Solanales; Solanaceae
Description: long non-coding RNA (STUB_LNC008433)
Source: RNAcentral
GAAAGAGAUAGACUAGAAACGACAUCUGUUAUGUCAAUGACACCAAAGGGAUAUUAAAUGAAUGGAAUUGGGAUAUGGAUGGAAUAUAAUGAAAUAGAGCCACUUUGAGGUUCCCUCUGAAAUGAGGCAUGUAAGGGAGCCACUACGAAGAAGUUCCGGGAGUUACGAAGGAAGCUUCGAGCUCAUAUUGGUCAUGGGUUGGGAACGGGAAUUGAACUCUAUGAGAUCGAAUCUCCUGUUGUUCCUCAGUAGCAAUUUUUCUAUGUGUUUGGGGAUUCCUUUUUUUUUUGUGAAGCUGUCCGCGUGAAUUGUGACGCCUCAAUAUUUGAGGGGCCUUCAUUGGCGGUCACGUGGCAGUAAAUUGUUUUGAGAUUGCUCAGCCGCCAUUUGCCAUAUAUAUGAAUAUAUUAUUUUAUUUCAUUUAAUCCAUUAAGCUGACUGCUUGAUUUUCUUCUUCAACCUUCAACCUUCCAUCUUUAAUUCAUUUUAGGUCCAAACUUCUUCAUUUUUUCCACCAAUUUAAUCCUACAAAUAAAAUAUACUAUUCAACACAAUCCAUAAAAUUUCUGCUAAAAAAGGACAAAUAUAAAUAAUAAAUGUGAGGCAAAUAAUGAUUAAAAAUAUGUAUUUUGUCCUCACAUCAGUUACCCUGACUGAUUACAUUUGUAAGCAUUUUAGAGGAAGUGGUCCAUUCGAGGGAUUUGUUUAGUUCUUUUUUUACACGGACCAGGUCCCUCUCCAACACCAUAUUUCUUUCAAGAGCCAAGUUCAUCUUCAUUUCAGUAGUGUUCAGCUUAUUUUCAAGCUCUAGCUGGAAGCUACUGGCCUCGUUCUUUCCUUUAGAUGUUGUAGUCGUCACCCCUUUUGUCUUUUCCUUUAGUUCUAGAUUUUCAGUUUCCAGAACUAUCAAUUAUUCUUCCAUAACAGACAUUUGGUCAACCAAGGUUACCUUUUCUUCAUGAAGGAUAUCUAGGAUGUUGUUCAUCAGAUCCUUUUCAGUUGUUAACUAAAUGAUAAAGUCAAUUAAAACAGCGGCUAGAUUCCUCAACCUUUUGGCAGAAUAAACAUGCAAAUUUUGUUUAAGGUCAGAAAGGGUUACCUCUUCUUCAGCUUCUUCACCAUCAGAUUUUGCCACAAAGGCAAACAUUUCAUCGAAGCUAACAUCAUCAUCUUUCACUGCAAGCAUGGAAGCAUCUUCAGGAUGGUCAGACUACUCUGAGUCACUUGAGGUGUCUUCACAGACUUCAAGGGCCUUCUUCACACCAUAGUACGCAGCUGGUUUUCUUCGACUCUUAUCAGGAACCAUGUCCUUUCUCUUGUCCUUUUCUCCUCCAGCCUUGACAUAAUCUUUAUAUUCAAGUUUGUGACAAAGAUCGUUUGCAUUUACAGCCCUGCUGGAGUUUCCUCCCUUUUGAAGACCUUCAUAUUUCCUUACUAUUUUCUGAAAUUUCUUAGCGAGGUAUGCCAUGUCCUCAUCUUUAUCAGAGGUUUCACGUGAUGUCACUUUAAGAGCUAGUGACUUGUCCUGAACCUAGUCCCUUCUUUUGUUUUUGCCUUUGAGAGUGAGACCGUCCAUUCUUCUGUGCAUCUCAUGAACUUGAAGAUGUUCAAAUAGAGCAUCCAACGAUAAUACUUCAGGAUCCUCUGCCUUAUAGACCAUAUCAAGUUUAUCAAUCCAAGAUUUGGGAAGAAUCUCCUGUAUCUUAGUAACCUGCUUCCACGCAGUGACUGGCUCUUCUAGGAACAUGAGCUCAUUUGUAAUAGUGGAGAAUCUAGUACGCAUUUCAUGAAUAGAUUCACCUUCUUCCAAGGUGAAGCUUUCAAACUGAGUGGUUAAUAUAUCUAACUUAGAUUUUUUUGUUUGCUCAAUAUUUCAUACACUAUUCUCAAGCGAUUCCAGACUUCCUUGGCUGAUUCACAAGAUGAAAUCAGAUUAUAUUCAUUUGCUCCGAUUCCACACAUUAAGAUCUUCCUAACCUUGUAAUUUUUCUCAACUUCCCUUUUGUCAAAGUCGUUGUAUUGCUGUCGGGUUUUGAGAACGACCCUUGUGACAACCCCAUCUUUUACUUCUAUAGUUGGCAUAUAGGGACCCUCACAAAUAACAUUCCACAUAUCACAAUCUUCAACCAAUAUAUAGUCAAACAUGCACUUUUUCCACCACCAAUAGUACUGACCAUCAAAUAGACGUGGCUUCGUUGGAGACUGACCUUCUUGCAAGCCUAGUGGAGCAGCCAUUAUUCGUGGGAAUCUCUCUCUUGGUGUUAACCAGAUAGAUAGACCAAGCUCUAAUACCAAUUGUUGGCAUAUAUGCAUCUACUAUCAGUCAACGGACCAGGUCCCUUGACUCAGCAAGAACAAUAAUUGAAGUAAAACGAGAGAAAAUAAAUGGCACAAUGUAAAUUGGGCACAGUGAUUUUACGUGGAAACCUCCUUGCUCAAGGGAGUAAAACCACGACCUAUCGCACAGGAUUUUCAACUAUUUUCACUAAUAUUCUCAAGCAAAAGUGAAAAACAGAUUACAACCACCAAGAGAUUAAACACUUAAUCUCAACACUAAGUAAUACGCCUAUUACUCACUAAGCCUAAGCAGAUACCACACUACCCACUAAGUCAUCCCACCCUAGAUAACUUAGACUUUAACUAAGCAGAUACAACACUGCCCACUAAAUUAGCUAGCUCCUAGAUGACUUAGAAUUUGACUAAGCAGAUACAACACUGUCCACUAAAUCAAUUAACCUUAACCGACUUAGACUUUCAGAUGAACAAAACAAAGAUGUAAUUCCUUUAUAACACAUGAAUGGAUUUACAAUGUAAGCACAUAAGAAACAAAGCUCAAAAUACAACAAAGACUCUUUAGCACUCUAUCAUGUCCCUUUGUUGAGUUGAGCAGUGUUCUUCCUUGAAGAUGGCCUUCUUUUCAAGCUUAUGAAUUUUCAUAGAAAAUCCAAAUUUUUGUUUGCCAAAUCUUGGGUUUGUGUUUGGAGAAGAGACUAUUAUCAAGAUGGACAUAAAUCCUUGGGACAAGGCCAUUGGCUGGGAGCCUGUUGUUCUCAAAGGCUAUGCACCAACUACAUCAGAGUUGGCAGCCUUUUGACAGCUGCGUUUUCAUCCUUUUCUCAUACGCAGACUUUUCGAGACCAGAUCCCUUGCUGCGUUCUUUGAUGCUUGAGUUGUUGAAAAACACUUGCUAGCUCUCUUUCUUUUUGAAUGAAUACUAUUGUUUGUUUAUUGUUGUAUAUAUCAGUUACCAACAAGGGUUUUGACCACUUAAACAAACAACUUUGUCCUCCCUUCCUAUUAGUGAAGUACGCUGCACAUCUCACCAACCAACCUGACAAGACAACUGUAAAGAUAACUUUACAAUUGUGCACCACUUUGAAUCUGGACUGAAGUACUCUGCCAAGGACCGGGUCCCUGCAUUUGUGAGGAUCAUCAAAACACUAGAAUAUAAUAGCUUAUUUAUAUUCAGAAUAAUAUAUUCUCAACCCAAAAUCUCUCACGUUUACUGAGGGGUUUAAUCCCCUGCACACAAGAGAACAUUUUUUUGAAUCCCUCGAUGAAAAUCAUGCCUUCACCUCUAUUGUCUUCAAAUAUAUCUUCUUUCCUGGUGCUCGAUCAUGUAUCAUUAUUUUCUGGUAAAUGAUAAAAAUUUAUGCAGUUGCAGACAUUGAACACUAGCUAUUUACAAUACAUUGCUGAAUUGUAUUUGGAUAUUGCCUUGUAUCAUUUUAAUUUUCAGAGUUGCUAACAGACUUGUUUUAUUAGACCAUGAGGAAUGUUUGGGCAUCUAGUUUAGAUACAAUCAGAAAUUUUCUUUGUAAUGUUCUCGAUGGAAUUCUAGGGUGCUUGCCUUGGAAAGAUGCAGUGAAGACCAGUAUCUUGUCAAAAAACUGGAGGUACAGAUGGAUAACACGUCAAGAACUUGAUUUUAAUGAUGAGUUUUUCAAAUCUUUCAAACAACAUGAAAUUUUUUGAAUCCCACGAUGAAAAUUUUGCCUUCACCACUAUUGUCUUCAAUCUAUGUUCUUUUCUGUGCUCAAUCAUGUAUCAUUCUCUAUGAUAUUGUUAAAUGAUAAAAAAUUAUGCAGUUGCAGACGGUGAACCACCAGUUAUUUUCAAUACAUUACUGAAAUGUAUUUGGAUAUUGCCUUUAUUCCUGAUUUUAAUUUUCAGAGUUGCUGGCAAACUUGUUCUGUUAGACCAUGAGGAAUGCUCAGACAUUUGGUGUAGAUACAUUUAGCAAUUUGCCUUGUAAUGUUUUGGAUGUUAUUCUUGGGCGCUUGUCUUUUGAAGAUGUAGUGAAGAGCAGUAUCUUGUCAAUAGAUUGGAGGUACAAAUGGGUAACACGUCAAGAACCUGAUUUUAAUGAUGUGUUUUUCAAGUCUUUCAAAUAAGAUGAAGAAGGCUCAACUCGGUUUUUGGAACUUCAAGAUUGCUUGUUCCACCCUCCACUCGGUUUCAAAGGGUUUGAGAAGCUUAUUAAUCUCGAUCUUGUGCGUGUCACUUUUGAUCCAUCAAUAUUUACAAAUCUCAUCUCUAAAAGCCCGUUGCUUGAACGAUUGAGGUUGCGUUUCUGCACAAACUUUGACAUCCUUGAAAUUGAUACCGCUAAUCUCAAAUUCUUUGAGUUUGUUGGAAAUAUAAAAUCCAUUUCCUUCAAGAACGCUCCUAUGCUUGAAAAAGUUAUUUUGGCUUUCCUUGGACGACCUCUCCUCUUGUUUUAAUAUGAAUUGACUCCGCUUCGGUCACUUUCAACUUUUGACUAAUAUAUCUCCUGUUAGGUCCAGUCUUACAAGUUCUUCCAUUACAUGCCUUCACUGCUGGAACUAAAUCUAUGGGGUUCAACAUUAGAGCUAAUGUACAUUUGUGAUAUUACUAUCAUAACUAAAUGAUGAAUUUGAUUGGUGCCUUAAAGUAAUUUUUGACUUUCUUCUAGUACUUGAUCAAGGGAUGUUUACCAGAGAGUCCCCCAACAGCUCUGAACAAUAUCAAAUCUCUCAAUAUUUCGUCCAUGUCUUUAAGAAGCGUCGAGGUGGUUUCAAGUGCAGUUUACUUGAUUAGAAGUUGUCCUAAAUUACAAGAUCUUACAAUUGAAUUUGUAAGCACUCUCUUGUUUUUUUCAUUAAUAAGGUUUCUUCUUCAUCUGAACUCGCCUAAUUAACUGUUCCUUGGAAAUUCUUUUAGGACCCUGUGGCCGUGGAGGAUAUUGUUGAACCUGUUGUAGAAUUUCUAAGAUUCCAAUCAUUCUCAUUAGGUGCUGAGAAGCUUCAAAGAGUUCAUGUGAACUUGUUUAUGGGUCUUGAGAUGGAAAUGGAAUUUAUGAAGUUCAUUUUGGCCUCUGCACUUGUACUUAAGGAGAUUUUCAUUUGGAAUUUUGUGUAUCUCCUUCAUCGUUCGGAUAAACAAAUGAUGGACGAGAUGAAAGAAUCCCGCAGAGCAUCACCAAAUGUUGAAUUCAUAUUUGAAUAAGUCGAGUUGGAAGAUUGCUGUGAACCCCAAGAAGUCAUGGAAGUGCCAUGGUUUUGCUUAAAUAGUACUAUUUUUUGUAGCACUUCUUGUGCUUUAGUUUGUUUGUUAUGACUUUUCAAUCAAAUUCAAGGCCAACAUGGUGAUGCCAUGUGUUUAAAUAAUGUGGCAGCUCCGAGUCAAAAUAAAAGCAUAUCAAAAUCUGCCACGUGUUCAAAAAGGCGUGUAUUGACCGAUUACAAGCAAAAGUUACAAUAUAUAUAGAGAGAUACAUACAUCAUAAACAACAUUGUUUCUACAGAAAAGGAAUGAAACAAAUUUGGUAACCUUUUUACACAAUAAACAUUGAAUCAUUAUUUUCUCACAAAUAAUAUUACUCUUAAUUGUUAGUUUCUUAGAGAUCUAACUUUAUAUGGUUCCUUUCAUAAAAAGAUAAGGCGGUGAUUGUUAUGGGUCCAACAGGACGGAUUGAUCUAGCCUUUCCAUAGAUCUAGCCGAUUCAGAGGUUGUGAAUAAUUGACAAACACAUCCAUCUAGAUCUAUGGGAAGUUUUAGAUUUUCCCGUUCCUGUUGCACCCAUGACUAUUACUACCUUGUUAUGAGAUCCCAAUCCAGAACGUAUUCGCAUAAGAGGUUGUCAUGAGAUCUUUCACUCCAUACUUAGAUCUUAUGUUGCUCGAACUCAGGUGCAGAUGUCCGAUACGGGGUGCGGAUCUAGAGGUCGGGUCGGAUCCUCUAUGAUCUACUCUUUAAGACUCGUGGAUAUAGAUCCAUGUAUGGAAGGGGGUGGGAUUGAGCUAAAAAUAAUUCAUAUACAGAAAACUUGAGGAUAAAAUAUUUUGUCAAGAGGAGAAUUCUGAAAGGAGAUAAAAGGAAACGGAGUGAUAAUAGAAAUUUAAACAUACAAGGUACUCAAUUUUCUUCAAUUUCACAUUAGUUUUUUGUUUAGAAUUUCCCCCUCAAAUUUGGUCAAAAUACCCAAAACUGGUUGACCAGAUUGGGUACGAAUCUCACAUCCACUGACCCACACCCCAUCGUGUUGACAUGAGUGCGACAUUUAAAGUGAAGGAGUCCGAGCAACUUAAGUUAAACCCUCUCAUAAACAAAUAUUUGCGAAUGAUGCAAUGCAAAAGUUAAAAAUCUAUAAACAUGAAGAAAAUUGAUGACGUUCUGAUCUUAGUUACUCAGUUAUAAAAUCCGUGACUUACAAUUAUAGUGUUGCUCUGUCAUGUCAAUUUUCUGUUUUUUUUCUUCUUUAUACAUGUUCCCCUUUAAGUAUAAUAGUUGUAUAAUCUUGACGUUUUAGCAAGCUAUGUUUAUUGUUGUAAAUACUGUGCAGUUCGUGUUGUUGCAGCUCAAAGUAGUAAGGAUUUAAUAUCGUAAGGAGAAUUAGAAGAAAAAAGGGCGAUCUUUGUGUGAAAAAGUUGUUAAUUGGUUUUUAGCUUAUUUAUAUUAGCCUUUAUGAUCCAGGGCAAUGCAAGUGAUGUAGUAAUUGACAUGUUGUUACGUUUUAUUGUCUUCUAAUUUAUGGCUUCCUCUUGUUUAUUAGGAGGAGUUUGUCUCUACUAAAUAAAUACUAUUUCUAAUAGAAUUAUUAUAAUAUAUUUUUUCAAUUUUUAAAUAAAAUUCAUUUGUAUUUUAUUUCUUGAAUGAAUAAUUUCAAUAUAUAUAUAUUGUAACAUCCGACAAUUUGAAAUAGCUAAGAAGAGGCUUAGAAAUUGAAGAUUUUCAUUUUUGGAAAGGAUUUGAAAAUCUGGAAAAAAAUUGGCUAAGUGUGGAAAUCAGUGAUUUUUGGCCAACUUUGAGCAGUCAUAACUUCCAGCUCAGGAUGAUUUAGGAGUAGUUCCAGUUAUGGUUGUGAAGCUUGUGGAAUGAUCUUUCCAACGCCGCCGAGUUUGCUCAAUUCCGAGUUCGUAUGAGCGAGUUAUGGCCCUUUGAAAGUNNNNNNNNNNNNNNNNNNNNNNNNNNNNNNNNNNNNNNNNNNNNNNNNNNNNNNNNNNNNNNNNNNNNNNNNNNNNNNNNNNNNNNNNNNNNNNNNNNNNNNNNNNNNNNNNNNNNNNNNNNNNNNNNNNNNNNNNNNNNNNNNNNNNNNNNNNNNNNNNNNNNNNNNNNNNNNNNNNNNNNNNNNNNNNNNNNNNNNNNNNNNNNNNNNNNNNNNNNNNNNNNNNNNNNNNNNNNNNNNNNNNNNNNNNNNNNNNNNNNNNNNNNNNNNNNNNNNNNNNNNNNNNNNNNNNNNNNNNNNNNNNNNNNNNNNNNNNNNNNNNNNNNNNNNNNNNNNNNNNNNNNNNNNNNNNNNNNNNNNNNNNNNNNNNNNNNNNNNNNNNNNNNNNNNNNNNNNNNNNNNNNNNNNNNNNNNNNNNNNNNNNNNNNNNNNNNNNNNNNNNNNNNNNNNNNNNNNNNNNNNNNNNNNNNNNNNNNNNNNNNNNNNNNNNNNNNNNNNNNNNNNNNNNNNNNNNNNNNNNNNNNNNNNNNNNNNNNNNNNNNNNNNNNNNNNNNNNNNNNNNNNNNNNNNNNNNNNNNNNNNNNNNNNNNNNNNNNNNNNNNNNNNNNNNNNNNNNNNNNNNNNNNNNNNNNNNNNNNNNNNNNNNNNNNNNNNNNNNNNNNNNNNNNNNNNNNNNNNNNNNNNNNNNNNNNNNNNNNNNNNNNNAGUCAAGAGUUUAACGUUGAGUUCAUUUCUCAAAAGCUAUUAGGGAACUAUGUAUUUCCAAAGAAGUUUCUAAAUGUUUUUACAUUUGAGUAAGGAAGGAACUAUGAUUCUAAAAGAGCCUUAGGGCUAGUUUUCAAGAAAAGGAAUAUCGUUUCCAAGUGAGCCUUUGGGCUAGAUUUUGAGUAAUUAUCUCAUUUAAAGAAAGAUGUGUUUAAAACACUUAUGAGUCAAAAGCAUUUUGGGAGUAGUAUCGAGCACCGAUUUGGAGACGCGAGUUCAUAUUAAACUCAACUCUCCAUAAGAACCAUGUAGCCAACCAUGGGAUUUCUCGGAUCAUACUUUUUAGAUGAUCACGAAAGUUAAGCUAGUGGAUCCAUUAAGCAAAAGUUAAAGUAAGGUCCUAUAUCGAUGGCAAGGUAUAGGAUGGUCCUUUGGCAACGUGAGGUAAAACGUUGUAUCUUUAGCUUCCUAUAUCACGGCAAGGUAUAUGAUGGUCCUCAGGCAACGUGAGGUAAAACGUUGUAUCUUUAGCUUCCUAUAUCACGGCAAGGUAUAUGAUGGUCCUCAGGCAACGUGAGGUAAAACGUUGUAUCUUUAGCUUCCUAUAUCACGGCAAGGUAUAUGAUGGUCCUCAGGCAACGUGAGGUAAAACGUUGUAUCUUUAGCUUCCUAUAUCACGGCAAGGUAUAUGAUGGUCCUCAGGCAACGUGAGGUAAAACGUUGUAUCACCACUCAUAUUCAUAGUGGUGGUUUGUCGGUUAGAGAAGCUCCCACAGUAGAAAGAGCAUGGUUCCUAGAGAGUUCUGCUUAGUAUGGAUGGGGGUAUGGGACUUCAUUCAUGCAUUGCACAAGUAGACCUUGAGAGGAAGCAUGAUAUUUUCAUGAUAUUAUAAAUAUGAUUUUUCGUCAUGUUUUAAGAGUUUUACAAGCUUUAUAUAUCGCAUGUGUCUUAUUGCUUUAUAUAUUGAGUUCAGUUAUUCGUGAGUUGAACAGAGCCAAGGUAAGUGUUCUCUUAUAUUCUUUUCAAGCUUAAGUUGUGGUUUAGCUUUCCAGCUCGCAUACUCGUACAUUCCAUGUACUGAUGCCAGUUGGCCUGCAUCGUUUUAUGAUGCAGACGCAGGUACCCAGGAUCAGCACUCUGCACGCCGUUGAUCCAGCUGAGCACUCUAGAGUCAGUGGUGAGCCUCCUUGCUUUCCGGAGGACUCGGUUAUUUUGUGUCUCUAGUUUUAUUUCGUUAGGAUGUUGCGGGGACUGUCCCAGCAUCCAUCUCAGUAUGUUAGAGGCUUCAUAGACAGUUAGUCAGUUAGUUUUGAGUCUCUUAUCUAUGUAUAUAUGUAAGUAUUCUAUUUUGAGACUCGAGUUGCCUUUUUGGCCAGAUAUGUAUCAUUUAAGUUGUUUAUGUCUCUGCAUAGCAUUGAGUUAUUCUGUUGAGUAGGUUUCCGCUGAGUUAAGAAAGCCAGGCCAAGGGUUCGCUUGGGGCCAGCAAUGGUCUCCGAGUGCCGGUCCCGCCCAGGGUGUAGGCUCGGGGCGUGACAUAUAUUCAGGAUCCGUGUCAGCACGGGACCCAAUAUAUAUAUUUUUUUUCUCAAUUUAUGUGAUACAUAUGAAACUUGAGAAGUUAUUCAAUUUUUUAAUAUAAUAUUUUAAAUUGUUAAUAUAGAAGAAAAAUAAGGAAUGACUCCUUUGUCAAUUAAUUUUCAUGACAAACUCAACAAUUGCCAGACAAUUGAUGAAACACACAGGUGGAAUUAGCUGCUAACUAUGGCUUCUAUAUUAUUUUAAAAAAAAUUAAGAGAAAGAGAAAAGAGAGAAUAAGAAAAAUAUACUAUUAAUAUGUGAAAACGGCUACACAUUUUACUGUCUCCGGCUUUCGAUCUCUCAGAGACUCUCAGUACAGGUAAGCAUCUUGUAUAAUCUUUGAUUAUUUGCUCUCAAAUUGUUCAAUAAUCAACUUAUUAUCAAUCAAUCAUGCAGUUUAAUCGACUAAUUCACCAUAGUUUGUCCAAAUCAUCUUGUGUUUUCACGCUUCUGGAAUUUGAACCUUACAUAUUGUGAUUUUCAACCUAUGAUCAACCGGCCAGAAAUGAGUGGUAAUAUCACCAGAAGAUUAAUUUCUGAUUAUUUUUGAACCGGAGAAAUCACAAGUACUUGGUGGAUAAUGGACUCACUCCUCUAUGCUUCUUGACUUGAAUAUUAGGUUAGGGUUCGAACCUAUUGCAUGUAAGAAUUAGGGGGUAAAAGGAUCACAGCUAACUAAUUAGGACAUGCUGCAAAAAUAAUUGGAUUGGUAAUAUUUGGUUAUAUGACUUUUUAACAAAGUCAAUCAGAAAAUAAUUUAGACAUUUUGGUUUCCACAUGUAAUAAUUGUUAAUGGCAUGGAUGAGCCUUUUUUUCAAACAAAAAUGUUAUAAUGAUCCUUUUCUCAAAGUUAGAUGGCAUAUUUGAGCCUUUUCUCCCGUUUUAUUUAUCAUAUAUAAAUGGGCAAGUUAGGCUUACUUCAAGAGCUUAAAGUAAGAUGAGAUAAGGGAACAUUACUUUGUCGAUCUUAAUCUUGCAUUACUCCAAUCCCCUGGAUGUUCUAAGGUGUUAUAACUCAUUGUGCUUUCUAUGCUAUGUCUGUUUUAUCUACUAAAACUGCAUCAUUGGAUAGAGUAUAUAAUUAUUACUAUCUUGGGAAGUUAUAACUAUGGGACUUAUUUGUGAACUGUGAGUUCAAUUGGAAAGAAAAGUAAAGUGACCGCUUUUAAAUCAAGCUCAAAUAUUGAGGAACCUUGGCUAAUGCGAGGAGGAAAAUCCAUAUAUAAGUUUUCAAUAGAUUAGAUGGGCGGAAUAUCCUGAAGAGUAAUGAAACCUUUGUAGGAGCUUUAUUGAUACUAGUUGUGUUUUAUUUCGCUGUCAUCCCAUGUUUAUUGAAGGGGAUUCAACUAAAUACCAUUUUGCCAAAAGAUUGUAUUGUGUAUGUAGGUUAAAUAUUAUUUUAUGUGUACAUAUAUACUUGUUGAAUCCUCUGCAUACAAGAGAACAUUCCCUCAAUGAAAAUCUUGCCUUCACCACUAUUGUCUUCAAAUCUAUGUUCUUUUGUGGCGCUCAAUCAUGUAUCAUUAUUUUCUCUCUAUGAUAUUGGUUAAUGAUAGAAUUUUAUGCAGUUGUAGACGUUGAACCACUAGUUAUUUUCAAUACAUUGCUGAAAUGUAUUUGGAUAUUGCCUUUAUCCCUGAUUUUAAUUUUCAGAGUUGCUGACAAACUUGUUUGUUAGACCAUGAGGAAUGCUUCGACAUCUGGUGUAGAUACAAUUAGCAAUUUGCCAUGUAGUGUACUGGAUGCAAUUCUAAGGUGCUUGCCUUGGAAAGAUGCAGUGAAGACCAGUAUCUUGUCAAAAGACUGGAGGUACAAAUGGGUAACACGUCAAGAACUUGAUUUUAAUGAUGAGUUUUCAAGUCUUUCAAACAAGAUGAAGAAGCCAAGAGAAUUAUUUACCAAGUCCUAUUAGUCCAUAAAGGACCAAUAUUGAAGUUCAGACUCCGUAGUUUUACGAGUUGUCCUGAUAUUGAUCAUUGGAUGCUUGACGAAGAAAAAUGUCCAGGAAUUCACCCUUCAUGUAAGAUCAGGAACUCAUUUACCUCAUCACCUUUUUACAUUCCAGCAACUAAGGUUUUUGGAACUUCAAGAUUGCUUGUUCCACCCUCCACUCGGUUUCAAAGGGUUUGAGAAGCUUAUUCAUCUCGAUCUUAUGGAUGUGACAUUUGAUCCAUCAAUAUUAACAAAUCUCAUCUCUAAAAGCCCGUUGCUUGAACGGUUGAGGUUGCGUUCCAUCACAACUUUGACAUCCUUGAAAUUGAUGCUGCUAAUCUCAAAUUCUUUGAGUUUAUUGGAAAAACAAAUCCAUUUCCUUCAAGAACGCUCCUAUGCUUGAAAAAGUUACCGUGGGUUUCCUUGGACGACGACUUUUGACUGAUACAUCUCCUGUUUGCUCUAAUUUCCCAAAGUUCUUCCAUUACAUUCCUUCACUGCUGGAACUGGAUAUAUGCGGUACAACAUUAGAGGUAAUGUACUUUUGUGAUAUUACUAUCAUAACUAAAUGAUGAAUCUGAUUGGUGUUUUAAAGUAAUUUUUUAACUUUCUUGUAGUACUUGAUCAAGGGAGGGUUUACCAGAGAGUCCCCCAACUGCUCUGAACAAUAUCAAAUCUCUCACUAUUUCGUCCAUGUCUUGAAGAAGCGUCGAGGUGGUUUCAAGUGCUGUUUACUUGAUUAUAAGUUGUCCUAAAUUACAAGAUCUUACAAUUGACUUCGUAAGCACUCUCUUAAUUUUUUUUCAUUAAGGUGAUUGAAUAUGGUUUCUUAUUCAUCUGAACUCACCUAAUUAACCGUUACUCAAAAAUUCUUUAGUACCCUGUGGGAGAUAUUGUUGAACCUGCUGUACAGUUGCUACGAGCCCAAUCAUCCCCAUACGGUGUUGUGAAGCUUCAAAGAGUUCGAGUGAACAUGUUUACUAGUCUCGAGAUGGAAAUGGAGUUUAUGAAGUUUAUAUUGCCAUCUGCACCUGUACUUGGGGAGAUAUUCAUUUGGAAUUGUACGCGUUUCCUUUUUCGUUCUUGUAAAGAAAUGAUCGAUGAGAUGAAAGAAUUCCGCAGAGCAUCACCCAAUGUUGAAUUCACAUUUGAAGAAAUCGAUAUGGAAGGUGGAUCAUAUGAACAUGAAGAAGUCAUGGGAGUGCCAUGAUUUUGCUAACAUAUUUUGUUUUGUAGCACUUAGUUUGCCUGUUAUGCCCUGUCUGUCUAAUAUUAUGCAGUAUGUAUAUAUGUGCUUGGCUAAGUAAGUUUGAACUAUUUCAAGAACUGUGAUUCUACUUGUAAUGGUCACUGUAUUAUUAUGUUAUUCCCAUUUUUGGCCCGUGUUAUACAAUUAUGGAUAUUUAAUCUUUAAUUAACUUAAAUGCAUGUGUUGUCUUUGUCUAUAAAACUGAACAGAUGGGGUAAUCUUUUGUCAAGGUGGAGUCUAUCUAAAUUACUAAUAAAAAGGUUUACAAAGUGGAUACAUGAGACUUGGAGGUCUGAAUAGGGAUAAUUGAAUCAGUUUGGUAACAUCAAGGGCAUUUUUGUCCUAGUUUUAAUAGUUCAAAGGUCUUGUUGGGCCAAAAACUUAAUGAAGGAUAUUUUGUUUCAUUUUAUAUCAUUCGAGAUUCUUUUUGUUUUUUUCUCUAUUUUAUGAUAAUUUGUUAAGCACUUAAUUUCAGUCAUUUUUAAGAACCAAAUAUACACAUAAAGAUUAUAUUAGAUUAGUUACACUCUGUUUGGAUUGUUGUUACCCAUUGUUUCAUAUUGUACUCUAUUGUAUUGUACUUGUAAUCAUUUAAACUUUAUUAAAUAUAAAUUUAUAAAAUGAUUCGAAUUAUAUUAAAUUCAUGAAUAUAUUAGUCCAAAUAAAUAUUAUGGAUUAAUAUAAUUGGGCUAAUUAUUCAAGUCCAAUAAAUAUGAAUUUAAAUAAAGUCAAAAUAAUUGAUUUGGGCUAUAGAUGAGCCCAAUUUGCUAAGUCCAAUGUCAUCUUAUCCUAGAGGCCCAUUCUUUUGGUGUCACGUGGCAAAUGACGUGGCAUGCCAAGUCAAACAAAUAGGCCAAUAGGAUCAUGACAUGUGUCAAAGAUGACAAGCCCGCUCCAUAAAGCCCAUAUGCCAUGUCACUUAAAUCUGAUUGGCCGAAGGGAAUCCUGUUCCAAUCGCAACUCCUCUAUUCUAAAACUAUAAAUAGGGGUCCUCAUAAUUCGCGUCGAGAAAACAAUAAUCAAGAACGGAAAAUUAUAGCAACAAUCGUAUCUAUUAUUUCAAAGUGCGAAUGUUACAAUCUCUAUGAUUCCUCUGAAUUCGCCUUUUCAAAUAUGAUUCAAGGGCUUUAAAGCUUGAUCUUGAAUCUUUGAUGAAUUUGAACUUUGAACUUUAUCUUGAUCUUGACUUUUGCUUGAAUUCAAGGUCUUCGAGCUUGUUCUUGAAUCUGAUGGUCUUGAUCUUGAUCGUUCUUGUAACUUAAUACUUGAAUUCUUAAUCUUGUAGCUUUAUAGAGAAUUUUAUGGCGUUUGUACCACGGAUUUUCUCUAGCUUCUUGUUUAGAAUUUUUCGUGUCUUGUAUUCUGAAUUAUGAGGACCCAUAUUUAUAGUUUUAGAAUAGAGGAGUUGCGAUUGGAACAGGAUUCCCUUCAACCAAUUAGAUUUAGUGACAUGUCAUAUGGGCUUUAUGGAGCGGGCUUGUCAUCUUUGACACAUUUCAUGAUCCUAUUGGCCUAUUUGUUUGACUUGGCAUGCCACGUCAUUUGCCACGUGACACCAAAAGAAUGGGCCUCUAGGAUAAGAUGACAUUGGACUUAGCAAAUUGGGCUCAUCUAUAGCCCAAAUCAAUUAUUUUGACUUUAAUUAAAAUUCAUAUUUAUUGGACUUGAAUAAUUAGCCCAAUUAUAUUAAUCCAUAAUAUUUAUUUUGACUAAUAUAUUCAUGAAUUUAAUAUAAUUCGAAUCAUUUUAUAAAUUUAUAUUUAAUAAAUUUAAAUAGAUUACAAAUAGCCCCCUGCUUCAAGUCUUGUCGAGAUAUUUUAUCUUUUAAAGACUAGACUUGAAGUAAUUAAUGAAGAUCUUCUUUAAUAUGUGAAACAAUUUUGAGUUGCUGCAUGUUUAAUGAGAAAUUAUGAUUUUAAUUCUUCAUAAUAGUUACGUUCCUUUUUAAAAAGGAGGCCAAAUACAUGCAAAAUAAACCCACGUGGGUUUGCCUAUAUAGCAAGUUGCUUUAUGGCUUGAUAUUUUUUCAUAAAAGGCUCAAAUAUAUGACUUACUUUUAGUCAAUACAUGGACUGCUUUAGUUAACAGUAUCACCGCCUCAAAUAAUGAAUUCAAUUAGGAGUAGGAUUAUGAUUCAAUUGAAGCCGUUCUUUCUUUUGUUGUCUUAAUUCCAAUAGUAGUAGAAUUAAGAAAGCUUCCUAGCCCCACCGACCCUAUACAAAUAACAUUUUUGAAUUCUAUUAGGAGUCUAAUUGGGUCUUAAUUCUUAUUCCACUAGGAGUUAAAAACCCCAAUUUUUUAAGUCUAUAAAUAGGCCUCACGUCUCCAUAUUCUCUGAACACAUUCAGAGAUCGUGAAAUCCCUCUUCACAACAGAGAGAUUCUUGUGCUAAGGUAUUUUAUUUAUUUAUUUUGUACUUUUUUUUGUGUGUAUUUCUUUUCAGAGACCAACAAAAAUAGAGAGCUUCAUCGCACAAGAGUCUGAUCUUGAGGUGUGAAGAAAUGUGUUUAACGUCCCCGCCUUGAAAAAAAAUACUACUCUCAAGGUGUUACAAGGUCCCGAAUACUUAAACAACUUGAGGUUUUACUAGAAUAAUGUGUUUAACGUCCCCGUCUUGAAAAAAAAUACUACUCUCAAGGUGUUACAAGGUCCCGAAUACUUAAACAACUUGAGGUUUUACUAGAAUAAUGUGUUUAACGUCCCCGUCUUGAAAAAAAAUACUACUCUCAAGGUGUUACAAGGUCCCGAAUACUUAAACAACUUGAGGUUUUACUAGAAUAAUGUGUUUAACGUCCCCGUCUUGAAAAAAAAUACUACUCUCAAGGUGUUACAAGGUCCCGAAUACUUAAACAACUUGAGGUUUUACUAGAAUAAUGUGUUUAACGUCCCCGUCUUGAAAAAAAAUACUACUCUCAAGGCGUUACAAGGUCCCGAAUACUUAACCAACUUGAGGCUUUACUAGAAUACUUGUGUUUAACGUCCCCGCCUUGAAAAAAAAAUACUACUCUCAAGGCNNNNNNNNNNNNNNNNNNNNNNNNNNNNNNNNNNNNNNNNNNNNNNNNNNNNNNNNNNNNNNNNNNNNNNNNNNNNNNNNNNNNNNNNNNNNNNNNNNNNNNNNNNNNNNNNNNNNNNNNNNNNNNNNNNNNNNNNNNNNNNNNNNNNNNNNNNNNNNNNNNNNNNNNNNNNNNNNNNNNNNNNNNNNNNNNNNNNNNNNNNNNNNNNNACUAACUUGAGGCUUUUUUAAGAUCCCUAAUGCUUAAAUUAUUCGCCCCUUCUUAACUAACCCUUUUUAAAAAAAGUUUUAUCUUCUUUUGUGCAUCAUCAUAAGUAAACAUUAACAUUUUUUUUAAUUUUUUUUUUUUGCAAUUUGAACAAUGGUUUCUUCAAGGAUUAUACUUGCCCACCUUCUCAACUCAAAUAUCUCAUCGUUGGAACAGAGGGUAGUACAGUGGAGACUAUGUUUUUGGUCCAGGAUUCUUUUGUUGGUCGUUAUGUUGAUCCAUGGCCACAAUUGAGGAACACGCUUCAUAUGAGAAGUUGGACAUCUGAAUACGAUCAUAAAUCUAAUAAAGUCUCAAAAGCGUGGUAUCUUAAGAAACCAAAUCCUCAACGUACAAACAUCGCGAGCACUCCUUCAAACUUAGGUCGCCGCAUGAUUCUAGAGGAACUACAUUGGGGAGACAACAUUGUGCUUGAAGGUGAAUAUCACUGCAUUCCGGGAUAUUGGGAAUGGACAGAAGAUGUCUUAAGCAAAAAUGGGCAAAGUCUAAACAAUGCUUGUAUUUCUGAUGCUGUAUUUGCUUCCAUUUUUACUUAUGAUCGGAACUCCAAUAUUAUACAAGCCUUUUGUGAGGCUUGGUGCCCUCAAACAAUACAUUACUUACAUCUACCGGAGAAACAUCCAUAUCUCUUUGGGACUUGCAUAUUCUAGGUGUUUGCCAAUUAGCGGAGUCCCUUACGAAGAAGUGACACCUAACUCCACGGAACUUACAAGUUUGGAUGACAAGAGGGAAAGAUCUCUUCCUCGAACUUGCGAGUGUAUGUUUGAUGCCUUUCAUCAUCUUAAAGAUAAAAAUAAUGGUAAUGUGAGGGUCUCUUUUAAUGAAUGGAUACAAUUUUGGUGUAAGCAAGAUCGCAAAUAUGAGCUAGCUCCCCCAAGGAAAGAGAAGAAAUCUCGACGUCUGUCAUCUACUCAUAAUUCAACAAGUGAGAUACCUACUGAGAUAAACACAUGAUCAAGUACUCAAGAGAUGGUAUUUUCUAAGCUUGGAGCGAAACACCAAAAAUAUGAGACUUAUCUAACAGCUUUUUUGUCAUGUUGGUUAUAUGCCUUUGUAUUUCCGUCUAAAGAAGGGAAUUUCAUUUGGCCUGAAACUUUCAAGAUAGCAAGCUUAAUGGCGAGCGGUAAAAGGGUUAGCCUUGCGGUUCCGGUCUUAGCAAGCAUAUAUCAUGGCUUAAAUAAAAUUUCAAAUUCUUCACAGUUAGACCAUAUAAGAGUCUGUUUUCCCAUCCACUAUGUUUAUGGUUGGCUUGCUUAUUAUCUCAAGACACACUAUCCGCUUACUAGUGGACCUUUUCUUCCAUGAAUGGUGGUAUAUUCUAGGGAAGGCGUUGCAAAGUACUUUGACAAAGAUGAGGCAAGAAAGCGUGUUCAUCGGGGGGAAAGCAUUGUAUGGAAUGCAACCAUGCUUAGUAGGCCUCACCCAACUUAUUAUAUUGAUGAUGGAAAAGCACCAGAGUUGGAGCUAGCUUAUUUUAUGAGCCUUCGUUUUAACUAUCUUCCAUUGAGGAGGGGAGGUUCCUUUGUCGUUGAGCCAUAUAGUCCGCACCGAUUUAGUCGCCAAUUUGGUUUUCAUCAAGAUAUUCCUGGCUAUUUAGAAAAUGAUAUCCGUGCUGAGUCGCUUGAUGAAGGCCUUAGAUAUUGGCGCAUUUGCAUAUCACGUGCAACUAUGUCUAAAGCGACAUUUCCUCUUGCUGUAACUUCCACAAAGAAGCUUUAUACUACCCAAUAUUCAUUUUGGUGGGAGAGAUCCUAUGGAAUGGUUCUUGAGGAUAAUUUGGAUGUUAUGGUAGAGAAAGCUGGGUCAGAAUUUGUUACCCUUUUAGAAGACAAAAGUCAAGACACCACUUGCUCCCCAACAUCAAAGUAAGAAGCUUAACUCCUCUAAGGCAUCUAAGAAAGAAGUAGUUCCCACUGGACGUGCCAAAAUUUGUAGACAAUAAAAUUCGCGUCGAGAAAACAAUAAUCAAGAACGAAAAAUUAUAGCAACAAUCAUAUCUAUUAUUUCAAAGUGCGAGUGUUACAAUCUCUAUGAUUCCUCUGAAUUCGCCUUUUCAAAUAUAAAUUCAAGGGCUUUAAAGCUUGAUCUUGAAUCUUCGAUGAAUUUGAACUUUUGAACUUUAUCUUGAUCUUGACUUUUGCUUGAAUUCAAGGGCUUCGAGCUUGUUCUUGAAUCCGAUAGUCUUGAUCUUGAUCGUUCUUUAACUUGAAUACUUGAAUUCUUAAACUUGUAGCUUUAUAGAGAAUUUUAUGGUGUUUGUACCAUGGAUUUUCUCUAGCUUCUUGUUUAGAAUUUUUCCUGUCUUGUAUUCUGAAUUAUGAGGACCCCUAUUUAUAGUUUUAGAAUAAAGGAGUUGCGAUUGGAACAUGAUUCCCUUCGACCAAUCAGAUUUAAGUGACAUGCCAUAUGGGCUUUAUGGAGCGGGCUUGUCAUCUUUGACACAUGUCAUGAUCCUAUUGGGUUAUUUGUUUGACUUGACAUGCCACGUCAUUUGUCACGUGGCACCAAAAGAAUGGGCCUCUAGGAUAAGAUGACAUUGGACUUAGCAAAUUAGGCUCAUCUAUAGCCCAAAUCAAUUAUUUUGACUUUAAUUAAAUUCAUAUUAUUGGACUUGAAUAAUUAGCCCAAUUAUAUUAAUCCAUAAUUAUUUAUUUGGACUAAUAUAUUCAUGAAUUUAAUAUAAUUCGAAUUAUUUUAUAAAUUUAUAUUUAAUAAAUUUUAAAUGAUUACAGUACUGUAUGAUAGAUACAAUGUUUGUCUAGACUGUAUUGUUUGUUAUUGUUUAAUAACAUUUUAAUUGUUUGGUUCGACUGUAUCGUACUGGUAUUGUAAUUUAUAAAUUUACUAAAAUAUCCUUAAUUAUUCUAGGGUAGGAGGUUUGACUAGAAUUAAAUAAUAUAGGGUAACAUGUAAAAAAAGUAUUAUGAAAUAUUAUGUUAAGAUAUAAUUAGAAAAAGAAAUUAAGUAACAAUGGGAACACACCAAAUCGGUUGUUCCAUAAAAUAGGUGUUCUCAUUGUUACGUAACAACGAAAUUUAACAAUACAAUACAAUACAAUACAUUUUAAGCAACAAUCAAAACAAUUAUAACUUGUAUUUUCUAAAAAAUAAUUAUUUUUAAAUGCAAAUAAGAAAAAAAAUUGAGAAAAAACUUCAAAAUAUUAAAUAUUAUUUAAAAUGAUGAAUUUUAAAAGAGCUUUUCAUUGGUAGGGUUUAUAUAUUGAGGAUAUGGAAUUAGAUGUUAAUUUUAAAUAAUAAAAUUGAAUUAAUUUUUAAAUGUAAAAAUAACUGCCAUUUCAAAUCCAACUUUGAAAAAUCUGGAAACUGUAUAACCGUUGUUAUGUGAAAUUUUUUAAUAAUCUUAUCCUUUUUUAUUAUAUCAGUUUUUUCUCUUUCAAAUAAAAAUAGGCUCGAAUAGUUUUUAACUGAUUCGCUUAAAAAAAUUUGAACAUUUUUACCCUUUUAACUUUAAUAUCAUUUAAUUAAAAAAUGAAAAAAAGAUCAGUUUAUUUAAAAAUGAUAUUAAAACUUUUAAAAUUUCUGCCCAAAUUUUCUGACCAUUGCAUUACCCUUUUAGAAAUUCAUUACUGCCAUUGAUAAGAAAAAACUAAACUAAAAACAGCUACAUCACUUUAAAGUAAUGAUAAUAAAAAAAUCUAACCUCCAAAUUUACAUAAGCAAAUUUUAAAAAGUUAACAAAAAAACAAAACAAAGAAAGUACAUCUCUUUUAAACUAAUAAAACUCUUUAAAUAUAAUUAGAGUUAUUUAAAUAACUCAAUAUUUGCAUAUAGCCUUGUAUUCUUCUCGCAACCAACAUCCUCAUUCGUAAAACUUAUAAACUACUACUUACAAUGUGGAUAUUAUUUCAAUUUAGAAUCCAAAACUGUGUCAUCUAAAGAGUCCAAAUAAAACUAAAAGUGUUAUGCAAUUUUAUUCACAAUUAAAGUUAGUAGAAUGAGAAAUCUUAAAUAAGAAAAAUAUGAAUCUAUCACUAAAAUUUAUGUGAGAAUUUAUCACUAAAAUCAAAUAAAUAUAAAUAAACAAAUAAAUAAUUAAACUUACAUGGCUAGUGUUUCUAAUGAUAGCCUAUUGUCACGGGCUCGCGGCAUAACGAUUAUAGAAGAACUCACAAUUUCUAAAAUUUUAUGUCAUGAAAACUGAUUUUAAUUUCAAGAAACAAAAGGAGUACAGCAGGCUAUUAAGAGAUAAAACCGCUUCAAGUGUGCUUAUGUAUAUUUUUUAUUUUAUUUUUAGAAAAACUUGGGAAGUUACAUUUAAAAAAAAAUAAAAAACCGUCUAUACAGUUUUUUUUCCUUUUUAUGUUUGUAAUUUUUAUUUUUAAUUUUGGAUUUUUUAAUUCUAGAUAAACGUGGGAGGUUAUACAUUUUAUAAAAAAAAAA